This 468-nucleotide ribosomal RNA is filed under the name uncultured bacterium. RNAcentral's name for it is "partial 16S ribosomal RNA". It matches the Rfam family "Bacterial small subunit ribosomal RNA", at positions 28 to 507 of the family's 1533-position model. The record is from RNAcentral.
GACGAACGCUGGCGGCGUGCUUAACACAUGCAAGUCGAACGGAAAGGCCCUGCUUUUGUGGGGUGCUCGAGUGGCGAACGGGUGAGUAACACGUGAGUCACCUGCCCUUGACUUUGUGAUAACUUCAAGAAACUGGGGCUAAUACCUGCUACGAGCUCCUGCUGCAUGGUGGGGUUUGGAAAGUUUCGGCGGUUGGGGCUGGACUCGCGGCUUAUCAGCUUGUUGGUGGAGUAGUGGCUUACCAAGGCUUUGACGGGUAGCCGGCCUGAGAGGGUGACCGGCCACAUUGGGACUGAGAUACGGCGCAGACUCCUACGGGAGGCAGCAGUGGGGAAUAUUGCACAAUGGGCGGAAGCCUGAUGCAGAAAUGCCGCGUGCGGGAUGAAGGCUUUCGGGUUGGAAACCGCUUUAGCCUGUGACGAAGCGUGAGUGACGGUAAUGGGUAAAGAAGCACCGGCUAACUACGUG